RNAcentral lists this ribosomal RNA (306 nucleotides) under Triticum aestivum (bread wheat). RNAcentral describes it as "partial small subunit ribosomal RNA". The record is from RNAcentral. Lineage: Eukaryota; Viridiplantae; Streptophyta; Magnoliopsida; Poales; Poaceae.
AUGAGUAGAUACAAUGAAGGUGUGACACUUCUAUUUUUCUCCAAUAGAUGUUUUCUUUUGAUGGGGAAGCUCCCUGUGUUAUGUCAUAAUAUUUUUUUCCGAAAAUCAGCCACUGAAGAAGACAGGAAACCUCAAUGGAGAGAUGAAGAGGGGGCAAUCCAGGAAAGGAAGCUCACAGAUAAGUUCCAUAUCAUCCCCAAACGGAAAACACAUGAAAAGGAAGUAAAUAGGAGCUCAGGCCUGAUGGUACGAUUGAAGAGAACAAUGCUAGGCUUCUGGCCAAGGGUUAUACCCAGAAAGAGGUGA